CCGACGAUAGCUCAGCUGGUAAAGCGGAGGACUGUAGUGAAUGACAGAUAUCCUUAGGUCGGUGGUUCAAAUCCGCCUCGUCGGA
Molecule: transfer RNA, 85 nt
Filed under: Clonorchis sinensis
Lineage: Eukaryota; Metazoa; Platyhelminthes; Trematoda; Opisthorchiida; Opisthorchiidae
Rfam family: tRNA
About the family: Transfer RNA (tRNA) molecules are approximately 80 nucleotides in length. Their secondary structure includes four short double-helical elements and three loops (D, anti-codon, and T loops). Further hydrogen bonds mediate the characteristic L-shaped molecular structure. tRNAs have two regions of fundamental functional importance: the anti-codon, which is responsible for specific mRNA codon recognition, and the 3' end, to which the tRNAs corresponding amino acid is attached (by aminoacyl-tRNA synthetases). tRNAs cope with the degeneracy of the genetic code in two manners: having more than one tRNA (with a specific anti-codon) for a particular amino acid; and 'wobble' base-pairing, i.e. permitting non-standard base-pairing at the 3rd anti-codon position.
Source: Rfam by way of RNAcentral